UCCCGCAAGGUGUCACCACCAG
Molecule: non-coding RNA, 22 nt
Filed under: Arabidopsis thaliana (thale cress)
Lineage: Eukaryota; Viridiplantae; Streptophyta; Magnoliopsida; Brassicales; Brassicaceae
Source: RNAcentral